Molecule: ribosomal RNA, 468 nt
Filed under: uncultured bacterium
Lineage: Bacteria
Description: partial 16S ribosomal RNA
Rfam family: Bacterial small subunit ribosomal RNA
Source: RNAcentral
GACGAACGCUGGCGGCGUGCUUAACACAUGCAAGUCGAACGGAAAGGCCCUGCUUUUGUGGGGUGCUCGAGUGGCGAACGGGUGAGUAACACGUGAGUAACCUGCCCUUGACUUUGGGAUAACUUCAGGAAACUGGGGCUAAUACCGGAUAGGAGCUCCUGCUGCAUGGUGGGGGUUGGAAAGUUUCGGCGGUUGGGGAUGGACUCGCGGCUUAUCAGCUUGUUGGUGGGGUAGUGGCUUACCAAGGGUUCGACGGGUAGCCGGCCUGAGAGGGUGACCGGCGACAUUGGGACUGAGGGACGGACCAGACGCCUACGGGAGGCAGCGGUGGGAAAUAUUGCACAGUGGGCGGAAGCCUGAUGCAGCGACGCCGCGUGCGGGAUGACGGCCUUCGGGUUGUAAACCGCUUUCGCCUGUGACGAAGCGUGAGUGACGGUAAUGGGUAAAGAAGCACCGGCUAACUACGUG